AGGGUAGGAGGCAGAGUUCAUCACCUGCACCAAGUGGCAUCAGUACUUCUGCCCCCUCCCCCAACUCCCGGCUGCACCCCCGCUGGCUCCCUGUCAAGCAGGUGCACUCCGGCAGCCUGCAGGUCCUGUGUGACCUGUAGACAAGCUCUGUUGGCCCACUGGUUUUUAAAAAUGCUUUUUGGUUUGGUUACCCACAUUUCAACACUGGACUUCAUACCAAAAAAAAAAAAUGUGAGAACUUGGUGGCGGGGAGGGGGGUUGGGGGGUUGGAAGACCUGGCCCAUACUGCGCUUGCAUUCCCACUGAGUAUCAGCCUGCCAGAGCUGAGGGGGCCUCCUGCUCUAGACCCAGGCCUUCUCUUCUGUUGGCCCAGGCCCCUCCACACCUUGUCCUUCCAACGUCUCCUCACCUCUGAGUCGAUGGUCACAAGGCAGCUCCCUGCCUGCCAGCGAUGCCAGGAAAAGGAGUUCCUGGCUUCUGCCUGAGGGAGGCGGACUCAGGAGGAGAGAAACCCCUCAGCCGUAGGAAAAGUGCACCGCUACAAGGCAGGUGUCCAUCCCUACCCGAGGAAGGAGACGCUUGCAGAAGAGUGACAUGUCCUCUAAGCCCGCCCUGGGGCUGCAGCCUUUUCCUCUUCCCCUCCAAAAGUGCAGAGCCUCCAGGUUGCUUGCAUCCUCGUACUUAUCUCUUCUAACUAGAACUAACUCUCAUAGCACCUUUGAACCUGUUGAAAAAUGCAGUAGUGGAGUUCCUGUCGUGGCUCAGUGAUCAGCGAACCCGUCUAGCAUCCGUGAGGACUCGGGUUCCAUCCCUGGCCUCGCUCAGUGGGUUAAGGAUCUGGUGUGGCCAUGAGCUGUGGUGUAGGUUGAAGACUCGGCUCAGAUCCCACGCUAGGGGUCGAAUCAGAGCUGUAGCCACCAGCCUACACCAGAGCCACAGCAACACGGGAUCUGAGCCGCGUCUGCAACCUACACUACAGCUCACAGCAACACUGGAUCCUUAACCCACUGAGCAAGGCCAGGGAUCGAACCCGCAACCUCAUGGUUCCUAGUUGGAUUCGCUAACCACUGAGCCACAACGGGAACUCUGGAACUUAGUUUUGUCUUGUCUUUGGUUUAGAGCUGGGCUGUUUUUAUGGGCUCAGGAAAGCGGGGUCUCUGGUAGUAAUGCUAAUGUUUAUUGUCUCGCACAUAGUGGAGACCGUAAAUGUCUCGGAGCUCAGUCACUGCAGACUGUGUCCUUAACCUUGACCAAGCUGUCAUGCAAACUUACUGAGCUUUUGCUGCGUAGAAUUACCCAGUCUCUACUUCUGAAGAGUUGAGAAUCAGAAUCCAGAGAUGACUGGGCUCAGUCAUGGAAGCGCUGAAAGUGUAAUUGAUUACUCCAGGCCAGAAUUUUUCCCUUGCAUUGCUUCUUCAUUAUGUAUUUCUUGCAUAUGGAACCCUUGAAGUCUCAUCUUUAAAGAGUCCUCCUGUCCCCUGGAUUAGUCACCUUUCAUCUUCCUAAGCUUACUUCUCUGAGCAUUGGGUGCUAGAUAGGUUUUGCUAUUGUUUUGAGUUCUCUCCUGAACAGACAAGUGGAGGGAUGGAAGGAUCUUGGGGCCAGUGAGCAAUUAGUGGGUGAGUCUCUAAGACAUAGGGUCUGUGCCAAGAUCAGAACUAGGCACAUAGUAGGUGCUCGGUACCUAGCGUGACUUCUCAAACUAGUGAGUUUAGUGAAGAUCCUGUAAUUCAUGAAGCAAACCUUCUGUGAACCAACCACCACUAGGUUGUAUCUUCCACCUGCCUAAGCCUUGAAAGCCAGAAACAUUCUGUGUGUGUCCUGUCCGAACACCAUCACCGAGUCACAUCUCACUAAGAAUAUUUUAUAAAGCAAAUACAGCAACACAUUUAGGCUUAGCACAAGGUAACACUGGGGUGUUAUUUUUAAAGCCAAAAAAUGUCCUUUGGUACAACUUUCCUGAUUCCAAUUUGUUCUUGUUUCUAAGAGAAUGGACUGCGUACCUUUGCUUUACAUAAAGACAUUUAAAAUCCCAGGGAAUGCAACACAGUGUGCCCUUCUUGCACGUGUAACGAUAGAUUUCCAUCGGGAUAAGGUCUGGUCACAACGGAGGAGUACAAAUGUGUUUUCAAGCUGGUGAAAGCAGGAGUCCACCUUACCACAGAGGCUGUUGAAAACACAAAGGUGAAAAGCAUGUCUGUUCCUGCGUCACCUGUCAUCUGUCAUCCGUUCAGCACUCAGUGUGCACGGCUGUGGUUUCACCAGGGAUCAUGUAAUGAAGCAGUGUGGUGCGUUCAGAAACAAAAACAAACGCAUGUGGGCUUUGGAGUCCUGCACGCUGGAAAUGGAAUCCCUGCCGUGUGGUUUAUUAGCUCCAUGGUGUCAAGCAAAUUACCUAGUAACUCUGAGUCUCAGUUUCCUCAUUUGUAAAUGGGAACAAUAACUGCCACUUCCUAGGGCACUGCCCUGGGGAGCUCCAGGGAGGGAGGGCUUUUCAUCCCCUUCUCUCGGUGUGUGGACAUCUGAGCGGUGCCUGCAUGUUGUAGGCAUUCACCGUGUCCGUGUAUGUUGUUGUGAGAAUCUAAUAAGAGAACAAGAGGAGCUCUUCUUUAC
RNAcentral lists this long non-coding RNA (2613 nucleotides) under Sus scrofa (pig). RNAcentral's name for it is "lncRNA (ENSSSCG00050026707.1)". Lineage: Eukaryota; Metazoa; Chordata; Mammalia; Artiodactyla; Suidae. The record is from RNAcentral.